CAAGCCUGUCCCCGACGAGGGCCACCACUGCCUCUCUCCACUUCUACCUGGUCCAGAGCAUGUCCCCAGAUCAGCUCCCGGGACUCCUGCUGUCACCCCAAGAACUCACACACGCUGGGGUGAGUGCAAAGGGCUCAGCACCUCAGAGAACCGUUUGGAAGUGUCCCCUAAAGCCAAACAUAUGCCUCGCCGGGACCCGCAGUCCCACUCUUAGUUCAUGCUCAGAAGCAGGCGCACAUGUCUCCAAAUAUAGGAUCGAGCAACCUCACAUGGGACAGGUCAUUCAGUCACAUCGAUAUACGUCGGGUUGGAGCUUUACUGUUUAUAACACACACCCCUCCUCCUACAGUUUGCAUCAAAAUACCUUGCCCUGCAAAACUUGGGUCCCAAUCAAUAAAACUAAUGUCCGGUUCCGGAGAAAUCUAUGGCUGCUAAUUAAAAUCACCUUCAUUGAAACAAACUAUAAAGGAUUUACCUCUUGACUCUGCUAGUCAUUGC
This is a non-coding RNA of Callorhinus ursinus (northern fur seal), 498 nucleotides long. Lineage: Eukaryota; Metazoa; Chordata; Mammalia; Carnivora; Otariidae. The record is from RefSeq and is a predicted model, not a curated record.